This 240-nucleotide long non-coding RNA is filed under the name Carica papaya (papaya). RNAcentral's name for it is "long non-coding RNA (CPAP_LNC010033)". Lineage: Eukaryota; Viridiplantae; Streptophyta; Magnoliopsida; Brassicales; Caricaceae. The record is from RNAcentral.
AUAUGAUAAAUAACUUGUUAAUUACAGUAAUGAUAUCAAGUUAAAUGAAAUUUUUACAUCUCAUCAUUUUGAGAGAAUAUUCUAAAUAGUUUAAUCCAUAUCUUAAGGUCAACUCAGAGCAAUAAUGACAGAAAAAAUAUUACAUCAUUCUUUAGCAUAUUCUUAAGAGUAAUUGUACACUUCAUGCUAUUUAGUCGUUAAGUAGUAUUAUUAUACGCCAACUUUAAUUAGUAAAUUAGU